Molecule: transfer RNA, 83 nt
Filed under: Oryctolagus cuniculus (rabbit)
Lineage: Eukaryota; Metazoa; Chordata; Mammalia; Lagomorpha; Leporidae
Rfam family: tRNA
About the family: Transfer RNA (tRNA) molecules are approximately 80 nucleotides in length. Their secondary structure includes four short double-helical elements and three loops (D, anti-codon, and T loops).
Source: Rfam by way of RNAcentral
GGUGCUGUGGCUCGGCAGGUUAAAGCCCUGGCCUGCUGCGCCAGCAUCCCUUAUGGGCACUGGUUCGAGUCCUGGCUGCUCCA